Long non-coding RNA from Sapajus apella (tufted capuchin), 1230 nucleotides. RefSeq lists it as uncharacterized. The transcript is spliced from 2 exons. Lineage: Eukaryota; Metazoa; Chordata; Mammalia; Primates; Cebidae. The record is from RefSeq and is a predicted model, not a curated record.
UGGGGUUUGAUUACUGUUUGGCGUGUUUUAUUUUCUUUCAUUUUUUUUUCUUUUUCUAAACAUCUAUAAGAAUACUAAUAAUUAAUACUAUUUUUAUGAUGAUGACUGUUUAGUGACAUCUUGUGCAUUUCUUACUGUUCCUGUCUCCUGCUCCAAAACACAUUCUCUCCUGUCUUUUCCUUUAAUUCCCAAACAUUGAAAUUUCUAGGAAUAUAGAGAUGGAAAUACCAGGAUUUCCAGGGUUUCCAUUUCUACUCUGACUCUUCUUUUUUUGGGGAUGGUGGGAGGGGUGUAGGGAGGUGCAUAAUGCUAAGAAUAAUUCAAGGGACAGAGGGCCUAAGAUGAAGAUCCCAUCAACCCCAGAAACUUCUAGGGAGGAUGAAAUAUUAAAAUGAAAAAGUCUCCACAACUAAAUGCAAGAAUUUUAUUUUCAUAUUUAUGUACCAUGCAAAUAACUAAAAAUCAUGGAAAUAAACUUGAUCUCCAUUGCCAAUUUUACCUAAGGUGUCUCAUAGAAAACCGCUUUAAUUUUAGCAACAAAAGCCUGUUACUUAAUGUGCAGCAUAUUGCAAGUGUGUAGCUGAGGAAUUAUGAAAGAUAAUAAAACCUAUCCUUCAUCUGUCAGAAUGUAAAUUGCUUAUGCAGAAUUUUCAACAAGGUUUUUGUUGUUGUUGUUCUUUUCUAAAUGUACUUUUCAGACGAGGGUGUUAGCAACUACUUCGGUAAUGAAGCUAUCAGAAGCCUGCAUGUAGUAGGGAACAUCUAUAAAGUUGCCUCUUGAUCUAAAGCAUUGCAUUUAUAAGAAUUUAUGGCAUUGUUGCGCCUAUUCAAGUCUGAGUUUUUCUCUGAUCAUCCUACUACCCUAAGAGUGCUAUGCUGACAUCACAUAGCUGGGGGUCUCAUCAGAAAACCAAACUAAUUAAAGAUGAAAAGGUCUGAGGAUGCACAGAGUGAAACUCUAUCUUUGUCUUGUAUUAUAACUUUUACCAAAAUUAUUUCUCCACUACUGUCAGCAAUGAAUGACUUUGCUCACUUCCUACUAACAGCUGUAGCACAGAAAAAAAAAAAAAAAGGACAGGUCAAGUACUCAAGAAGCCAUGUUAACUUCCCAAAUAGUUAGGCAAUCGGCUUUAAUGAAACAGUGGUAAAUUACAUCAAUGUGCUAAUUAUAGAGGACUUUGUCACAGCAUAAGAUGCAAUAAAACAACCCAUGCCUUGGCUUGGAAAGUG